Molecule: non-coding RNA, 70 nt
Organism: Podarcis lilfordi (Lilford's wall lizard)
Lineage: Eukaryota; Metazoa; Chordata; Lepidosauria; Squamata; Lacertidae
Source: the annotation of a GenBank genome assembly
GGACCAUAGCCAGUGGUAGUGCAUCUGCUUUUUAUGCAGAAGGUCCCGGGUUCCAUCCCCAGCGACUCCA